This 412-nucleotide ribosomal RNA is filed under the name uncultured bacterium. RNAcentral's name for it is "bacterial SSU rRNA". It matches the Rfam family "Bacterial small subunit ribosomal RNA", at positions 121 to 530 of the family's 1533-position model. The record is from RNAcentral.
AUGACCUGCCCUUUAGUGGGGAAUAACCCGGGGAAACUCGGGCUAAUACCGCAUAAGACCGAGAGGUGAAAGCGGGGUCGCAAGAUCUCGUGCUAAUGGAGGGGUCCGCGUUCGAUUAGCUAGUUGGUAGGGUAAUGGCCUACCAAGGCGACGAUCGAUAGCCGGCCUGAGAGGGUGAUCGGCCACACUGGAACUGAGACACGGUCCAGACUCCUACGGGAGGCAGCAGUGGGGAAUUUUGCGCAAUGGGCUAACGCCUGACGCAGCAACGCCGCGUGGAGGAUGAAGGUCUUUGGAUUGUAAACUCCUGUCAGCAGGGAAAAAGGGAGGAGAGCUAAUACCUCUCUGACUUGAUUGUACCUGCAGAGGAAGCCCCGGCUAACUCUGUGCCAGCAGCCGCGGUAAUACAGAG